GUGUAUUUCUUUUAUUUUGUAUCUAUUUUAAAACUCAGAAAUAGAGAAAGUUCAAACACAACAGACCAACAAUACCCAAACUUUAGAAAUAACAAGGUGGCCGGAGAACCCGUUGAAGCCGGAGCAAUACCAAACUUCCUCACCGUCGAAAAAAAAAAUUUGGCUACGCAAAACCAAGUCUCAAAACAAGCUUCCACCAGUGGCCGGAAAAUCCAUAUGGCACCCAUUACUCAGUCAAUAAACCGACGAGUCAAACCUAUCGCCGGAAUUGUGCUCCGUAUAGUGUCUGUUCUGGGCAUUUAUUUUGAUCGAAUUGCUUCUCCGGC
RNAcentral lists this long non-coding RNA (326 nucleotides) under Panax ginseng (ginseng). RNAcentral describes it as "long non-coding RNA (PGIN_LNC007447)". Lineage: Eukaryota; Viridiplantae; Streptophyta; Magnoliopsida; Apiales; Araliaceae. The record is from RNAcentral.